AAGCUCGUAGUUGAAUUUCGGCCUUAGUUUGUGAGGUCCAGCCUUCAUUGGUUGGUACCUUUACGAACUGGGCUCCACCUUCUGGGUUAGCUAGUUGUUACUUCGGUGCAGCUAGUGAACCAGAACUUUUACUUUGAAAAAAUUGGAGUGUUUAAAGCAGGCUUUUAAGCUUGAACAUAUUAGCAUGGAAUAAUGAAAUAGGACUUUGGCCUUAUUUCGUUGGUUUCUAAAGCCAAAGUAAUGAUUAAUAGGGAUAGUUGGGGUGAGCGGGCUGGCAAGGCAUGAUUAA
RNAcentral lists this ribosomal RNA (289 nucleotides) under uncultured fungus. Its description in RNAcentral is "partial 18S ribosomal RNA". It matches the Rfam family "Eukaryotic small subunit ribosomal RNA", at positions 624 to 914 of the family's 1831-position model. The record is from RNAcentral. Lineage: Eukaryota; Fungi.